GCAAUGGCAGUGUAAAGGACUCAGUUCUCUGGCCUGUCUACUCAUUUGCAAAAUUAGGGAGCUCUUUGUGAAUGUCUCCAGGAUUCUCCUUGUUCAUUCUGCUGUUCAUUCUGGCGUCCUGACCCACUCCAUGCAGAGGGAGCUCUAGAGCUCAGCUUCGUUCCUCAUUUCCCUUCCAAGGAGAGCUUAGAGGUACAGGGACCUUCCCACUAUGGGCAGCCAUGUGCUGUGCUGGGUGGCCUUCUGUCUCCUGGGAGCAGGAACCACAUGUGGUAGUAUCACUCAGACCCCAAAAUACGUGCUCAGAGAGGAAGGGCAAAGUGUGAACCUGGAAUGUGAACAGAAUUUGAAUCACGAUUCCAUGUACUGGUACCGACAAGACCCAGGGGAAGGGCUAAGACUGAUCUACUACUCACUAGUAGUACGUGAUAUUCAGAAAGGAGACCUAGCUGAAGGCUACAGCACUUCUCGGGAGAAGAAGCCAUCCUUCCCUCUCGCAGUGACAUCCACCCAAAAGGACCACUCAGCUCUCUAUCUCUGUGCCAGUAGUCUAGGCACAUUGUAUUGGGACCUCUCCAAGGUCUCCUUAAGCAAUAUGAGAGUCUUUGAUUGGGAGAUGGAUGUAGCUUCAAUCACUGGCAAACAUCACCACCAGGAGGCAGACUGGAGCAUCUUUAGGAUUAUGUCGUCAGUCAUCCAUGGUCCAGGAGGCUCAUAG
Tupaia belangeri chinensis (Chinese tree shrew) is the source of this 718-nucleotide non-coding RNA. NCBI's taxonomy places the organism in Eukaryota, Metazoa, Chordata, Mammalia, Scandentia, Tupaiidae. The record is from the annotation of a RefSeq genome assembly.